AACGAACGCUGGCGGCAUGCCUAACACAUGCAAGUCGAACGAGACCUUCGGGUCUAGUGGCGCACGGGUGCGUAACGCGUGGGAACCUGCCCUUAGGUUCGGAAUAACUCCCCGAAAGGGGUGCUAAUACCGGAUAAUGUCUUCGGACCAAAGAUUUAUCGCCUUUGGAUGGGCCCGCGUUGGAUUCGCUAGUUGGUAGGGUAAACGCCUACCAAGGCGACGAUCCAUAGCUGGUCUGAGAGGAUGAUCAGCCACACUGGGACUGAGACACGGCCCAGACUCCUACGGGAGGCAGCAGUGGGGAAUAUUGGACAAUGGGCGAAAGCCUGAUCCAGCAAUGCCGCGUGAGUGAUGAAGGCCUUAGGGUUGUAAAGCUCUUUUACCCGGGAUGAUAAUGACAGUACCGGGAGAAUAAGCUCCGGCUAACUCCGUG
RNAcentral lists this ribosomal RNA (433 nucleotides) under uncultured bacterium. RNAcentral's name for it is "partial 16S ribosomal RNA". It matches the Rfam family "Bacterial small subunit ribosomal RNA", at positions 29 to 507 of the family's 1533-position model. The record is from RNAcentral.